This is a non-coding RNA of Coffea arabica (coffee), 809 nucleotides long. Lineage: Eukaryota; Viridiplantae; Streptophyta; Magnoliopsida; Gentianales; Rubiaceae. The record is from RefSeq and is a predicted model, not a curated record.
UCCAACAGGAUCAAGCAUUAAAGUUCACAUAAUGUAGGGGAAAAGAUAUUGCAAUACUUCUUUCUCUGUAACUACAUAGCGUGAUUUAGGUAGUAAUAAGGAUCUACAAAAUAUACUCACCAUAAGGAACUGGAAAACGUUUCAAAAGGUAAUAUUCAACAACUGACAUCGAUGCUGAGAACAUCAUGGCAAAGGUGGCCGUUGCACUUGAAACCUGCAGCAGAGUUCAAAAACAUGAGGCUAGAAUCUUCAAAGGGCCUGUUUAACAUAAGAUGGAAAAUCCAACAGAACAACAGGUACCCAAAAUGGACAAUGCAGACAGCAACUAAUUAGAUAGAAAUAUGGAACUAUUCAGUCACUUCUUAGUGUUUAACUUUGUCCAUCGUAUGGUUUAACCAAAUUUAAGGAAAUACUCUUCCUAGGUCUUCUUGAAUCACUACUUCUUCGAGGAGUUUGGAGCAGUAGUCAAGAGUUCAAUAUUGCAACCAUUUAUAGCUGGACACCAUUAACAUCCGUGAUCUAUUCUUUGUCCAAAACACUAUGAAGUCAAUUAUCAUAGUCAGAUGCUCAAGAUUUCAUUCACUCUUAAUGUAAGAUGAUGAGUUGAAAACUCAUACUGUAUCUUAUAGUGAAAAUGAAGAAAUCAUUGAAGACAAUAACUGCAACUGACAGGCUUUUGUUUAGGGAAGAGGCUCCUUUUUUCCUCUCACCAUCAGAUUAGUCAUGAAGAAAUGGAAGUAGGAACAUACUGAGCCAACUGCCCAGUCAUGAUGCACAUGUCUCUUCACUGUAUAUCAAAUAGCUCGAAA